Molecule: ribosomal RNA, 273 nt
Filed under: uncultured prokaryote
Description: partial 16S ribosomal RNA
Rfam family: Bacterial small subunit ribosomal RNA
Source: RNAcentral
UACGAAGGGGGCUAGCGUUGCUCGGAAUCACUGGGCGUAAAGCGCACGUAGGCGGGUUCUUAAGUCAGAGGUGAAAUCCUGGAGCUCAACUCCAGAACUGCCUUUGAUACUGGGAGUCUAGAGUUCGGGAGAGGUGAGUGGAACUGCGAGUGUAGAGGUGAAAUUCGUAGAUAUUCGCAAGAACACCAGUGGCGAAGGCGGCUCACUGGCCCGAUACUGACGCUGAGGUGCGAAAGCGUGGGGAGCAAACAGGAUUAGAAACCCUUGUAGUCC